GGGCGAUUGGCUCAGUUGGUUAGAGCGCCGCCUUCACACGGCGGAGGUCACAGGUUCGAGUCCUGUAUCGCCCACCC
Molecule: transfer RNA, 77 nt
Filed under: Actinomycetota bacterium
Lineage: Bacteria; Bacillati; Actinomycetota
Description: Actinobacteria bacterium (freshwater metagenome) tRNA-Val
Rfam family: tRNA
About the family: Transfer RNA (tRNA) molecules are approximately 80 nucleotides in length.
Source: RNAcentral